Long non-coding RNA from Xyrauchen texanus (razorback sucker), 1278 nucleotides. RefSeq lists it as uncharacterized. The record is from RefSeq and is a predicted model, not a curated record. The transcript has 3 exons. NCBI's taxonomy places the organism in Eukaryota, Metazoa, Chordata, Actinopteri, Cypriniformes, Catostomidae.
CGGAGAGAAAAAGAUGCGUUUUCAAACGAAAACGUAUUAGUAUGGACUAGGCCUAAGAAGACCAGUUUAAAUAAUAUGCUAUCUCAAGCAUUUUUGUAUUUUACCUUCUAUAAUCACAACAGUUAAAAUUAAUCUGAUAAGCAUUGCAGGAUUUGACCUUCGGCCACCAUAACUUUUUUUUUGCUUCCUCAUCAUGAGACAGCUUCUGUAGUUGCAGGUUUCUCAGACUUUUCUAUCAAUUCACUUUCAAAACAGUAUAGUAGCUUUAAAUUUAGUAAGUAAUACAAAUAUAAUGAAAGGUCCAAUAAUCACACUACAAAGCAUAGUCACUUCCCACGAAAAUAAAUGGUGCAGCUUCAUAUUAAGUGUAGUUGGUGGUUGUGACAAGUUUAAGAUUGUGGGCAAUGGAGGAGUCAGGAGACAACGAAACAGGUUCAAGGUCAGUUCGUUUAAUGAAAGAACACACACACACACAGCCUUAUCUGGUCUCCCUCCGCCAUCACUAUAAUGAGAGCCAUGUGUUAGAUUAAUUACAGCCCAGGUGACCAGCCAAAAUCGCUUUCCCUCUCCCGCAGACAGAGACAUGACCACGCCCCCUCAUGCCACAGUGGUACAUAAUAGUAUACAUCAGGUAUAAUAAUGCUUGUAUGUGACCUUUAUGGAAGAGCAUUGCACAAACUAUUUCAGAUUUCAAACCCAUCUCACCCCAUCCACUCCUCCCCAGAACUAGUUUAAUAUGUCGCAAACUUUGUGGACUCUUGCUUCAGUUUCCUGUUUCCCUUAUCUUGUUUCACAAUCUUUGUAAAAUCGUUGUAAAAUCUUUGUAAUAUUGGAAACAACUUUGCACGGAAAAGCUCAGUCAGUCAUUUAUCACAUUACAAUAAUGUGAACAUGCAUAUUGUUUAUGUCCUGUGACUACUUUUGAAACAAAAAGAGGGACGAGUCAAAACUACUUUAUGUGGUAAUCAACAUUAUGCCACAAAUACUGUCUACUGAGCCUAACUUUUAUUGAACUUGGAAUAUUCCUAUACUAGUUUUAUCCUGUAUAAAGAACUCCUCUUGACGUGUUGACUAUAUGCAUGACAUGGAAACUAUAAGUGCUGUAGGGAAUCCUGUUGAGACCCCGCUCUUGAGGAAAGCCCCAUACCCCUUGGGAGCAUGGUGCCUUUCGGAGGACACCAGCUUGUCUAGACUACGCAGUUGCAAUCACAAUGGGCAUGCAAUUAGGCACAGUUGACAGAUGUUCUGUACCUGAUGCAACUGCAAUCUAAAAUAAGA